Calypte anna (Anna's hummingbird) is the source of this 520-nucleotide long non-coding RNA. RefSeq lists it as uncharacterized. The record is from RefSeq and is a predicted model, not a curated record. The transcript has 3 exons. NCBI's taxonomy places the organism in Eukaryota, Metazoa, Chordata, Aves, Apodiformes, Trochilidae.
GAGUGUGUGAGAGAUCUGGUAGUCAACCUUUGCCCCUCCACCCUCAGGAGUCUGCAGGAUGUCUCGCAGACAGAAAAAAUCUUGAGGUGCAUCCACAGAGAAGUGGAGGAAGUGUGCACGGAACCAGGGCAGUUCCUCCUGAGAUCCGUGCUUGGUCUGCUCAGCGAGUGCUGCCCUGAGGAAACAGUUCAGACCCUCUUGAGGAUCAGUCCCUCCUGUGACAAGUAUGAGCCCCAAGAGCCCUGGGGACUUGCUCCAUAGCCCAGGCACAGCACAGUGGCCAAGGCAGCCCUGCUAACAGAGUGUUCUGGCUUGCAGCGCUGCACUGGCCAUGUGGGAGAUGCUGCUGUCCCUGCCCAGCACUUCAGAGACAGUUCUUGACUGGCUGCUCAGUGUGAUCCAGGGCUGGAGACCAAUCUGUGCUAUCCCAUCUGCAAGCCAGGUCCUGUACAGGCUCAGCCAGCGGCCCCGCGGCCAGAGGAUCCUGGAAGCGCUCUUCCCCAGGCUCCUCAUGAGCUUG